This 766-nucleotide ribosomal RNA is filed under the name uncultured bacterium. RNAcentral's name for it is "bacterial SSU rRNA". It matches the Rfam family "Bacterial small subunit ribosomal RNA", at positions 28 to 807 of the family's 1533-position model. The record is from RNAcentral.
GACGAACGCUGGCGGCGCGCCUAACACAUGCAAGUCGAACGAGCGAGAGAGAGCUUGCUUUCUCAAGCGAGUGGCGAACGGGUGAGUAACGCGUGAGGAACCUGCCUCAAAGAGGGGGACAACAGUUGGAAACGACUGCUAAUACCGCAUAAGCCCACGGCUCGGCAUCGAGCAGAGGGAAAAGAAGCAAUCCGCUUUGAGAUGGCCUCGCGUCCGAUUAGCUAGUUGGUGAGGUAACGGCCCACCAAGGCGACGAUCGGUAGCCGGACUGAGAGGUUGAACGGCCACAUUGGGACUGAGACACGGCCCAGACUCCUACGGGAGGCAGCAGUGGGGAAUAUUGCACAAUGGGGGAAACCCUGAUACAGCGACGCCGCGUGGAGGAAGAAGGUCUUCGGAUUGUAAACUCCUGUUGUUGAGGAAGAUAAUGACGGUACUCAACAAGGAAGUGACGGCUAACUACGUGCCAGCAGCCGCGGUAAAACGUAGGUCACAAGCGUUGUCCGGAAUUACUGGGUGUAAAGGGAGCGCAGGCGGGAAGACAAGUUGGAAGUGAAAUCUAUGGGCUCAACCCAUAAACUGCUUUCAAAACUGUUUUUCUUGAGUAGUGCAGAGGUAGGCGGAAUUCCCGGUGUAGCGGUGGAAUGCGUAGAUAUCGGGAGGAACACCAGUGGCGAAGGCGGCCUACUGGGCACCAACUGACGCUGAGGCUCGAAAGUGUGGGUAGCAAACAGGAUUAGAUACCCUGGUAGUCCACACCGUAAAC